GUGUCUGCUGGUAGAUCCCCCGUUUUUGUGCGGCCGACUACCGGCGCCGUGUCCCGUCGUUCCUGUGGCUUUGUGUUACCGUUGCCUUUCAAGUGCUUGCGUGCUGGUACCCGAACUAAGGGAAUUGGUGCUACGUACAUGUUGCCUCGCGGUGGACGCCUUCGGGUGUGCUGCUGCGGCCAAAUGGCGCUUGCGGCGUUGCCUCGUUACGCUUUCACGUUUACGUGGUUGUUGUUAUCAAAGGCAACCUCGCUCCUGCUGUUGGUCUCGGAUGUUGCCCACGAUGAAGUCUCAUGGCCCUUUUUGGUUGCCUAGACCCGACCCUAAGAAGCUCUCCGAAUUGAGAACAACCGGAACAGGUGUUGCCUCUACGUAUUCCGCAGUUAGUGGUAUGAUACGCAACAUUUUGCGCCGAUCCUCAAAUAAGUAGGAUGAGCUUAGCCCGCUCAAUUGUGACAUCCCGGCCCGGGGACCGCUUCUGGCUUGACACGCAAGUGGACGGACGGACGACUCCCGACGCUGGACGUCAACAAG
RNAcentral lists this unclassified non-coding RNA (534 nucleotides) under Puccinellia bruggemannii. RNAcentral's name for it is "partial external transcribed spacer". The record is from RNAcentral. Lineage: Eukaryota; Viridiplantae; Streptophyta; Magnoliopsida; Poales; Poaceae.